This is a long non-coding RNA of Pseudophryne corroboree (corroboree frog), 606 nucleotides long. RefSeq lists it as uncharacterized. The record is from RefSeq and is a predicted model, not a curated record. The transcript has 3 exons. Lineage: Eukaryota; Metazoa; Chordata; Amphibia; Anura; Myobatrachidae.
UAACGGUCAAAUGGCAGAGACCGCAUGAGGAGGAGAGCAGGUGCACAAAAGUCAGUUGGUGCUGGUGACUCAGGAGACUGGAUGCAGCUGGGAACUGCUGAACACAGCCAGCCCCGGGAGCAGUGAGAGGAGACAAGUGACAGCCGCUAGGGAGAACCAGCAGAUCUUUACAAGGGGGAGCGCGGUGAGAGUGUGACGCAGCCCAGAGAAGAUGUGGUCGAGAGCCCGGAGUCUGCACGGUACCUGCCAGCUAUCCUUCCAGGCAUUGGGAGGAGAGGAGAUCACACUGAGGGUUAAUCGAGAAUCCAGUUGAUGACCGUUGGAGUGAAUCUGAAACACAAGGAAGAACAGACCGUUGUGAAGGGGGUGCUACCAUAGACAACAAAAGUAGAGAACGAAAAUGGACAGAAAAAGGAUUGUCUCUUCGUUGGCGCACAUUAGAGGAAGAAAAAAUUUUUGUUUAAAAUAUAACUUUUAUUCUUAUUCAAUAAAAAUUGCCUAGCAAAUGAGAAACAUAUCAGUGAAAAAAAUGUGUAAAUAAAUUGUGCACUGUGAGUAAUUAUAUUGUGUGCUUGAAAAAUUAAAAGCUGAUUCACUGUGCUCAAA